UAAAUAACUGUUUAACGAUUUUCCAUUGUAAAACUGUAGAACGCAAUGCAUCAUGGGAUGCCCUACAAAUACAACUGCCACCUGUGUAUUUAACCAUAACCUACUGGGGGCAAAGAGGCAGUUCUGUUUUCCCCUGGAAAGAAGAAGUUUCCUCAGGAUUUACUGCUGUUCUUGAGCUCACCCACCUGAGGAAAACUCCAAGAACACCUGCAUUUAAGAAUUAAAGUUCUGUUCUUCGUUCAGAUGUCCAAAGUCCAACACCUGCAGACGUAUCAAGAAGUCUAAGGAAUAGCCAACCCAUCAUCAGUACACCAAGUACAUCCAGCCCAAAUGACAGAUCCAGAGUAAUAGAUCUUAGUACUUGGCUCGACAAGUUUAAGGUCCCAUGGAGCAAGAUGCCCCAAGGAAUAAAACUCUCGAUAAAUGCACAACAGCGGCCUACUCCUCGAGACCGUCGGGAGAUGAUAAGUCAUUGUAGACGAAAUAAGACUUAUUGAGCCCAAUCCUACUAGAUCAGACUGCGUUACAGUCGCCAAGAUGGUUGUUAAGGAAUAUCCAGAAAGUUUUGCAGACAUUCUAAAAGAUGGCACCAGAAUUGGAAGUGGGUUUGCUUCACUGGUGAACCAGCUAAAAACGCGAGUUGAACACCUCAACCGUAACAGUGUAAUAGGAAGGCGCAGAAGGAUGAAAGGACACUCCAGUUCACCAACUACAAACCGAGCAAAAGGGCCAUCGGACCAAUAUGGGUGCAUCAGAUGGCAACCUGAUUGUCCUCAAGGGGAAACUGAGUCAAUUCUGAAAGAGAAGCAGGAGGAAAUGAAAGAGCUUUAUGCUCGUGAGGGUCCAGCAGCAGCAGAGAGAGGGCACAUUACUCAGCUCAUGGAGAGGACCUACUACUUGCAACGAAAAACCAUCAAUGCAAGUCCAGCCCCAUCUAUUGUGGAGCUCAAAACUGGCUGGCCAUUUCUUUUUACACCAAAAGAAAUUUAUAAUCACUUUAAGCUGUUAACUGACAUCUCUAUCCUUGAAAAAAUUACUGAUGCAAUUGAGCACAGAGGGAAGAUGAUCGUUAACUUUUUUCGCCAAAAACCAACAAAUGAAGUCCAGCAAAUUCUGUCAAGGUCGAGCUAUUAAGUAAGUUUAAUCUGCAUUUAAAUAAUUACUUUUAUUAUUUGACUUCUGCUUUCAGUUUCCAAAACUUGUGGGGUUAUUUGUUAGAGUGAAUCUUAAAUUAUGUCUUUUAUAUUAGCCUAUUGUAUAUAUGUUUGUGUUUUAGGCCACAGCCACACCAGCAGAUGUGGAGGAAUCAGUUUUACCAGACUCUCCAAGAUUGAUUGUUCAAGGUACUAAAUUAGUUUACUAUUGCAACUUGGGUUGGUCAGAGACAUUUAUAUUAAUGAAUAAAUGUUUAACUAUUUAAGGUGAGACACUGACCUCAGCAAAUUGGAUGAUGAGUAUAGAAGGUCAGGUGGUCUUGUCUUCACAUCCCAACUUUGCUGCAGGCUUGGCAGCUUUGUUUGCCUCAUUCUACAACUUUAAUUUGGAAUACCAAAAAGAGGCCUCAUGCACUCUAGACUUUAUCCAAAGGUAAAUGAGUGUUAUUCAAAAAAUAGUUCCACAUUAUUUAUUUGGUUACUUAAAAGUCCAACACUUUCGCUUUGGGUGUGAUUUUGUUUAGGGGUGUGGUGUUUUUUUUUCCCCCUUUUCUUUCAGUAUAAUUCAUCCCUUUAAUUUGGUGAAUGGUUUACUUGGGUACAUUUUUCUUUCUUUUUUUUAAUGUUAGUUUAAAAAAGUUGAGCCGCAUAUUUGUUUAAAUAUGUUAAAAUGAUUAAAGCUGUAUUUGGAUUUCUAACAUGAUUGAAUGUACAUCAGUAUCACACAGUAAUCAUGAGCCAACUUCAACACACAUAAAAAAUUUCAAUAAGACCUCGCAGCCAAAACAUAUUGGUCAUGAGUCAGUCAUUUGCAUGUACUAAAUAUGAAGUCAUUUUUAAUUAACUGUAUUUUAAUUUCCUUUAGAAAUGUGCAAAAAAAGGUCAAAUGCCUCACAUUCUUGUGUAUGAUGGAAUAAAAUUUUAAUUUUAGGACUUUUUAAAAUACAUAGCCCAACAAAAACAAUUAUUUGUUUAUAUCCCACUAAACACAUAACUUAAGUAAUAUAUUAUUGUAGCAUUUUAAAAGGAUAGCACCUAAAUAAACUCAUUAUUAGUGACAAAACUGUUGCGAUUAGAAAUGUAUAUAGAGGGAAUUCAUUUGAAAAUAGAACAUUACAGAUUACAACUGCCCUAUAGACGCUGUCUUAAAAUGUUCUAAUACAGCUCUUUUUCUGACUGUGCAGAUGUUUUGUGGGAAUCAACACAACCACUGGCUCUAAGACAUCUACUGAGCAGGUCCUGAGCAAAAGAAGUGGAAAGGUAGUGGAGAAGAAAAAACACUCCAUGAAUGUCAAAGUUUGCAGCCUUCUAAGGAAAUUAAUGGACUUCGACUGGCUUUGCAUGUCGGUGUAAAUGUUGUCUUCAGCAUACUACUGCAUAAUGUGAAAAUGUUUAUUUAUCUUCAUGAUUAUUACAAAAAGACAAAAUGUCAAAUUUAUGUUUAACAUUUUUUGUAGUUUUGGUAUGUACUAGUAGAUAUGUUUGCCUAUUGACUGCGUGUAAGUUGGUUGUAAAUCUAAUAGCAUACAGUACUUGUCACAAGUUGAUGCACCUUUUCAUUCAUUUAUUUAUUUUUAUUUAUUUAUUUUUCUUACAUUGUAAUACUGAAGUCAUUCAGACCAUGAAUGAACACUUAAGUUUAGUACUUAAGUGUUCAUUCAUGGUCUGAAUGACUUCAUUUUUUAUUUUAAUGGUAUUUAUUUUAAUUGUUCAACAAAGCAAAAUAUGUAUCUCUUAUCUGGGGUGCUGUGAACUUUUGUUUUUUGGGGCUGGUAACUCUUGCAACAACCUAAAGAAUCUAAAAUCUAAAACAUAUGGUUUAUUUAACACUUUUUAUUUUUAUUGUGUUUGUUGCAGUUUAUUUUUUAUUUUUUUAUACCAAAAUACAGUGUAUUUCCUCUUUGGUUAUGUUAAUGUAAAUUAGCAGCCUGUUAUUCUUAUUGUUCCUGUGGAGUGAUUCUUCAACAGAUUUCUGUUCUUUCCUAUACUCCCCUGUGUGAUCCCAGAUUAGGAUAUAUAGAUGUAACCUGAGUUGUUCUAAUACAAAUUACUGUGAAAUUUGAAUGAAACUAAAAGUGGUACAUAUUGUGACAGACUUUUUUUAUAAUAAAUACUUGAUGGGAACAAA
Astyanax mexicanus (Mexican tetra) is the source of this 3282-nucleotide long non-coding RNA. RefSeq lists it as uncharacterized. The transcript is spliced from 2 exons. NCBI's taxonomy places the organism in Eukaryota, Metazoa, Chordata, Actinopteri, Characiformes, Acestrorhamphidae. The record is from RefSeq and is a predicted model, not a curated record.